Molecule: ribosomal RNA, 507 nt
Filed under: Salmonella enterica subsp. enterica serovar Kentucky
Lineage: Bacteria; Pseudomonadati; Pseudomonadota; Gammaproteobacteria; Enterobacterales; Enterobacteriaceae
Also listed under: 1 other name
Description: bacterial SSU rRNA
Rfam family: Bacterial small subunit ribosomal RNA
Source: RNAcentral
GUGAGACAGGUGCUGCAUGGCUGUCGUCAGCUCGUGUUGUGAAAUGUUGGGUUAAGUCCCGCAACGAGCGCAACCCUUAUCCUUUGUUGCCAGCGGUUAGGCCGGGAACUCAAAGGAGACUGCCAGUGAUAAACUGGAGGAAGGUGGGGAUGACGUCAAGUCAUCAUGGCCCUUACGACCAGGGCUACACACGUGCUACAAUGGCGCAUACAAAGAGAAGCGACCUCGCGAGAGCAAGCGGACCUCAUAAAGUGCGUCGUAGUCCGGAUUGGAGUCUGCAACUCGACUCCAUGAAGUCGGAAUCGCUAGUAAUCGUGGAUCAGAAUGCCACGGUGAAUACGUUCCCGGGCCUUGUACACACCGCCCGUCACACCAUGGGAGUGGGUUGCAAAAGAAGUAGGUAGCUUAACCUUCGGGAGGGCGCUUACCACUUUGUGAUUCAUGACUGGGGUGAAGUCGUAACAAGGUAACCGUAGGGGAACCUGCGGUUGGAUCACCUCCUUACCU